ACGGUCCUAAGGUAGCGAAAUUCCUUGUCGGGUAAGUUCCGACCUGCACGAAUGGCAUAACGAUGGCCACACUGUCUCCUCCCGAGACUCAGUGAAGUUGAAAUGUUUGUGAUGAUGCAAUCUACCCGCGGCUAGACGGAAAGACCCCAUGAACCUUUACUGCAGCUUUGCAUUGAACUGUGAACCGAUUUGUGUAGGAUAGGUGGGAGGCAGAGAAGAGGCCACGCCAGUGGUCUUGGAGCCGACCUUGAAAUACCACCCUGAUUUGUUUGCGGUUCUAACCACGGACAGUGAUCCUGUCUUGGGACCGUGCAUGGUAGGCAGUUUGACUGGGGCGGUCUCCUCCUAAAGGGUAACGGAGGAGUGCGAAGGUACGCUAGGUACGGUCGGAAAUCGUGCUGAUAGUGCAAUGGCAAAAGCGUGCUUGACUGCGAGAGCAACAACUCGAGCAGAUGCGAAAGCAGGUCAUAGUGAUCCGGUGGCUCUGAAUGGAAGGGCCAUCGCUCAACGGAUAAAAGGUACUCUGGGGAUAACAGGCUGAUACCGCCCAAGAGUUCAUAUCGACGGCGGUGUUUGGCACCUCGAUGUCGGCUCAUCUCAUCCUGGGGCUGUAGUCGGUCCCAAGGGUAUGGCUGUUCGCCAUUUAAAGAGGUACGUGAGCUGGGUUUAAAACGUCGUGAGACAGUUUGGUCCCUAUCUACCGCGGGCGCUGGAAGAUUGACAGGGGCUGCUCCUAGUACGAGAGGACCGGAGUGGACGCACCUCUGGUGUAUCGGUUGUGACGCCAGUCGCAUUGCCGAGUAGCUAUGUGCGGAAGAGAUAACCGCUGAAAGCAUCUAAGCGGGAAACUUGCCUGAAGAUUAGUCUUCCCGGAGGCUUGACCUCCCUGAAGGGUCGUCCGAGACCAGGACGUUGAUAGGCCAGGUGUGGAAGCGCUGUGAGGCGUGAAGCUAACUGGUACUAAUUGCCCGUGCGGCUUGAUCCU
RNAcentral lists this ribosomal RNA (985 nucleotides) under metagenome. RNAcentral's name for it is "bacterial LSU rRNA". It matches the Rfam family "Bacterial large subunit ribosomal RNA", at positions 1945 to 2925 of the family's 2925-position model. The record is from RNAcentral.